Molecule: ribosomal RNA, 375 nt
Filed under: uncultured bacterium
Lineage: Bacteria
Description: partial 16S ribosomal RNA
Rfam family: Bacterial small subunit ribosomal RNA
Source: RNAcentral
CACGUAGGUGGCGAGCGUUAUUCGGAUUCACUGGGCGUAAAGGGUCCGCAGGGGGCCUGCCAAGCCUGUCGUGAAAACCCGGGGCUCAACCCCGGGCCUGCGGUGGGUACUGGCGGGCUGGAGUGCGCGAUGGGCGGACGGAACACCUGGUGUAGCGGUGGAAUGCGUGGAUAUCAGGUGGAACACCGAUGGCGAAGGCGGUCCGCUGGCGCGUCACUGACCCUCAUGGACGAAAGCGUGGGUAGCGAACAGGAUUAGAUACCCUGGUAGUCCACGCCGUAAACGUUGAGAACCAGAUGUGGGGGGGCUGGCCCCCCCCGUGUCCAAGUUAACGCGAUAAGUUCUCCGCCUGGGGACUACGGCCGCAAGGCUAAA